CCUGGUGGCGAGUGGCGAACGGGUGAGUAAUACAUCGGAACGUGUCCUGUAGUGGGGGAUAGCCCGGCGAAAGCCGGAUUAAUACCGCAUACGCUCUACGGAGGAAAGGGGGGGAUCUUAGGACCUCCCGCUACAGGGGCGGCCGAUGGCAGAUUAGCUAGUUGGUGGGGUAAAGGCCUACCAAGGCGACGAUCUGUAGCUGGUCUGAGAGGACGACCAGCCACACUGGGACUGAGACACGGCCCAGACUCCUACGGGAGGCAGCAGUGGGGAAUUUUGGACAAUGGGCGAAAGCCUGAUCCAGCAAUGCCGCGUGUGUGAAGAAGGCCUUCGGGUUGUAAAGCACUUUUGUCCGGAAAGAAAACCUCCGCCCUAAUAUGGUGGGGGGAUGACGGUACCGGAAGAAUAAGCACCGGCUAACUACGUGCCAGCAGCCGCGGUAAUACGUAGGGUGCAAGCGUUAAUCGGAAUUACUGGGCGUAAAGCGUGCGCAGGCGGUCCGCUAAGACAGAUGUGAAAUCCCCGGGCUUAACCUGGGAACUGCAUUUGUGACUGGCGGGCUAGAGUAUGGCAGAGGGGGGUAGAAUUCCACGUGUAGCAGUGAAAUGCGUAGAGAUGUGGAGGAAUACCGAUGGCGAAGGCAGCCCCCUGGGCCAAUACUGACGCUCAUGCACGAAAGCGUGGGGAGCAAACAGGAUUAGAUACCCUGGUAGUCCACGCCCUAAACGAUGUCAACUAGUUGUUGGGGAUUCAUUUCCUUAGUAACGUAGCUAACGCGUGAAGUUGACCGCCUGGGGAGUACGGUCGCAAGAUUAAAACUCAAAGGAAUUGACGGGACCCGCACAAGCGGUGGAUGAUGUGGAUUAAUUCGAUGCACGCGAAAACCUUACCUACNCU
RNAcentral lists this ribosomal RNA (897 nucleotides) under Dyella terrae. RNAcentral describes it as "bacterial SSU rRNA". It matches the Rfam family "Bacterial small subunit ribosomal RNA", at positions 84 to 981 of the family's 1533-position model. The record is from RNAcentral. Lineage: Bacteria; Pseudomonadati; Pseudomonadota; Gammaproteobacteria; Lysobacterales; Rhodanobacteraceae.